UCUGCAUUGAACCAUUCAAUAGUACAAGUACAGUAUGCACAUUCUGUUAUGCUAGCAUUAGUCACUCAAGAUAAUGGCCCGGUGAGGGGAACCAGCCUUAACCAAUCAGAAUGAAGUAAACAGGUGUAUCAAUCAUAUAGUAAUAAGUAACCUGUGUGAUGUCAAUCAUGUAAUACUGAGUAACCAGUCUGUAAGAAAGAGAAUAAAAGCAGCGGUCCGGGACUAUCCUGAGACGCCUCACUGCAGCUUUGUCUCGUCUCUGUUUCCCGAUACAACAUCUGGUGACCCCGACGUGAUCCAGACACAGGACCCCCGACUCAUCGGCUGGCUUAGCCUUGGUGCACCACAGCGCAACGCGCUCCCUCCGCCGGCCGGACCCAGCCAAGCGAGUCGUGCCGGCGGAUUUGGUUCUACUCGCGUUAAUCUGGAGCAAGGUCUCCUUUUUCAUCCACAGAUUGCUGCAGUAUUACAACACAUCCGAACCCACAAACCGACCCUUUUUAUCUAGAGCCCAGCGCCAUUAUAGACAGACCGAGCCCCUUCCGGCGCCGAAGGUGAUAUAUCGCAAGUUGCCAGGACCAGAGUGGAGC
Mauremys mutica (yellowpond turtle) is the source of this 590-nucleotide long non-coding RNA. RefSeq lists it as uncharacterized. NCBI's taxonomy places the organism in Eukaryota, Metazoa, Chordata, Testudines, Geoemydidae. The record is from RefSeq and is a predicted model, not a curated record. The transcript is spliced from 3 exons.